GGGGUGGGGUAGGGUGCUAGGGUUAUGGGAUAUGGAGAGUGGAGGUGGGACAGGGACCAUGGGGUGGGACAGGGUACCCAUCGGUGUGCCACAGUCCCUGGGGUGCAGCAAAGGACCGUGCAGGUGCAACAGGUCCCUGAGGGUCAGCCAGUGUCCCCACAGCCAGGUUAGGGUCCCCAGGGGACCCCACACUAGGACAGGGGUCCCUGGAAUUGGAGGCUCCCCACGGUCAGGCAGGGUGGGACAGUGCCAUGGGGACAGGGGACAGCAGCACAGGAGCAGCAGGAUGGGGUGCAGGACGCAGCGAGGCGAGGGAUGCCCACGCAGGUGCUGUGUGGGCACCGAGCAUCGUGGCUCCAUCACGGAGCAAAGCCCCGGUGCAUCUCCUGGGGCUCAUCUCCAUGCACCAGCACGGCCCCCUCGGCCCCAGGGCGGCGCGAUGCUCCCAUGCCAGCAGGUUUCGGGGCCGUGCCUCGUCUCAGCCCCAAGGGAAGCAGCUGGGAAGUGGUCUUGGGGGGCAGAACUGGUUAACGCAACUAGUCACGCUCCAGCUAUUGUUCUCCGCUGGCAUUCAGCUUCGCAGACUUUCUGCUUCUAUUUCGGGCCUGCUGAAGGGCUCGUGUACCCAACAGCCUGCCUGUUUUUCUCCUAAUUAUUUCAGUCGGGCUAAAAAAAGACAUCACCUCCCUCUGCAAACCUUGCCUCCAUUGUUCGUGGCGGAGAAGAUAGAGGGUGAGAAGGAGAGGAGAAAAGUAUCGGCAGCGGUUCCCUCACGGUUAAAUGUGUCUUGGAGGAAAACAGGAGGCUGGCAGUGAUGGAAGAGGCACCAGAGCACCCACGGGGCUGGUUGUCCCAAAUCCUGCGUGGACGGGGCUAGUGGAGGAGCAGGGAAUCACCCUGGGUUCGGAAUGGGAAAUCCUGGGGCUGCCAGGAAGCAAUUGCAGCAUCCCACCUGAGGCUUGAGGAUGCUGCACGUUGCACCUGCCUGCGAUGGGCGAGGGUUGUGUCGGAGGGCUGAACGGCGCUGGGAAAAGCAAAGGGGAGAUGGAGAGGGUACGGCGGGGCCCCCGUGUGCUCCACUUGUACGGGGUCGGACCCGGGACCGGAGCUGGGAGCGCACAAACAGCUAUUAGUGGUCACGGGAGAGGAACACCCUGGCGGCACCUCCUCCCCAUCAGCUCAGCCGUGGCUUUGGCAGAGGCGCCGGUCUCGCCGAGGCGAUACCUCUGCUGCGUAAACACUUUCGGCGGCCUCGCUGCCCCUCCUGCCACUGCUGGCAGCAGCAUCGGGCCCAGAAAGCGCCGAUGUGGUGCUGGGCAAGCAGCUGCUGGGUUGUGAGCACCCGAGCCCUUCGGUUUCCUCACCCCUAUCCCAUGCCAGGCACCUCGGAAAGGUGGGACCAGGACCCCCAGGCAGAAAUUCGGAGCCGUGGCCGUGCUGGGGACAGCUUUGUGCUGCCCAAGAGCAGCUUUAGGGUUGGCUUUAAAAACGUUUGCUCUUGGUUUAAGUUUUCCCAGCUCUCGGAUGGGAUAGGUGGUAUUGCAGCAAGGCUCUGAAGCGAUAAAAAAAAAAAUCCCAGGCACGAGGGGAAACAUCUGGCAGGGCAGAGAGGCUGUAGGCCGUGCUUCUGACUCUCCCGGAAAAUUUUAAUCGGCGAAAAAGUGAAGAAUAUUUUUAGCAUGCAGUCACCGUGCAUGUGAGGGCGUGUGCACGGGGACGGCCGCGGCGCUGUGGUUUAUCAGCUGCCGCGAGCGCACGGAGAGCAUCGCGCUCCCCUCGUCCCCGGGAGGAGCUGCAGUCCACGAGAGGAAGGUGAGGAAGAUGCUGGUCGUGUGAGAAGGUGGAGGCUGGUCCAGAAAUGCCGUCUGAUGACAGCACGGGGGCAGGAGCCCACCCAGCAUCGCAUUCAUUGACAAGAAGCAGCGUGGUGCUGCUGGGACGAGCGGGACGGAGCCGCACGUGGCACGAGGAGCUCGUGCUGGUGCUGCUCAGCAAUGCCGCGCGCCCCCCGUUCGAAGGCACAGACCCUGCUGGUGAACCGCAGCCACCGCCUCCGCUGUGAACUUCUAUGAAAUUGGGAACGUGGCAUCCCAGGCGUUGUGUUUGGGGACUCACUGAAACCUAUUAAGGCUGUGGAGGAAGCACCUUUUGGAUAGAGGAUCCAAAGGACCCUCUCUGAGCAGAGCUGGAAAUGCCAAGUACAGCGAUGCCGAGCAGCCCAGGCACGGGACAGGAGUGCUAAUGGCUGUUUAACAUUCUGUUGGACAUCUGAUUCCGAUUUGGAGCCUAAUUAGCCUUGAUGAGGACUAAUAAGCAGCUUUCAACAUGUGCCCAGGAUUUGCCCUCCCGAUGCUCUCGGUGUGUCCUUGCAAGCGGCGCCUGGCUGAAAACAGACAUUGCCGCCCAAUUUGCCGGCCUUGUUGGGGCAGAAAAUGAACAUUUUGAAGGUGUCAUUUUUCUGUGGUGAGAAGAAAACUUUGAAAUUAGCCCUAAAUCAGCCAUUGCACUUUGAAACCAGGCUGCAGCUUGAACCAGACGACACCGGGAGAAGCCCACGGGGCCAGCCGGAUGGGGCGGUGGUCGAUGGCCAGUGAUCGAUGGUUGAUGGCCCAUGCUCGAUAGUCAAUGGUCCACGGUUGAUGGUCCAGUGUUGAUAAUCAAUGGCCAAUGGUUGAUGGUCGAUGGUUGGUGGUCACUGGGUGAUGGUUGACAGUCAAUGGCUGAUGGUUGACGGUCAAUGGUUGACGGUCAAUGGUUGACGGUCAAUGGUUGAUGGUCAAUGGUUGAUGGCCAAUAUCUGACGUUUGGUGAUGAACGGGUGAAGUUGGGUGGCUGAUGUUGGAUGUCCGAUGGCUGAUCCAGCAGCACGGCAGCACGGCUCUGCGGUAGCAGCAGCGCUUGCCUAGGUGGAGCUGCUUCUCUUCGGCAUCGCCCCGCGUCCUCCGGCAGCGCCGGGUCUCAUGGCGCAAACACCGCCUGGCUGCAGCUCCUGGGAGGGAUGGGCAGGAUCAGGAGGAAAGCAAAAAAAAAUCUGUGGGCUUUUGUUUGUUUUCCGUGCUCCCCCUUCAAGUGCUGUGCAAAAGGUACUAGCUCCUGGAGGCUGGGCUUUGGCAGUCCCUGCUGCGCCGCCGAAACCUCCGGAUACGCCCUGGGUGAGCCCGGAGCACGUCCCCACGCCCCGCUGGGGAGCGUGUCCCAGCCCCGGCUUUCUGGGGUUGUGGGAACACGCGUGACCAGCUCUCCCCCAACCUCAGAUGGGCUGCUGCAGCCCAGCCCUAGGGGCAGAGUGCUUUUUUUUUUUCAAGUUUCACAGCAAUUACGGGACUGCAGGUAAAUACCCAGACCUCAGGGCUGGGAAAAGUUGCCAAUUGCCGUGCCGUGAGACAGGUUCAGCCAGUGACAUUUGUUCUCCUCGGCCCGGCUGAAACAAGGACCAUGUUACAGCCCUAAAUAGUCGCUUCUGGGGGACAGGUGGGUCAGGGCAAACUUUAUUUUUCUGGAAACAGCAAGCACAUUGUGCAGGGAAGACUUUCCAAGGAUGCUCCCCACACCCUUUUCAGGAAAUACCACGCUGCUCUCCUUAUUGCCAUGCCAAUAAUUUUUUUGUUGUUUGUUUUUUAAUUGGCAUAAAUGAUAGUCUUGGCAGGGACACGCCGUGUUUUCCCUUGGCUGUUGGAUUUUAUUCUGAAAUCGCUUUUGUUUUGAUCUCGGCAUCUCUCCACCCCCCGGCUCGCCUCUCACCCCGCACGUUCGUGCUCCCGGUGCCCGCUCUGCCGCCACCACAUCUGCUGAACCCGGGCGUGAAAACACCGUGGGGGCCUCCCACAUCGGUCACAGCGGGUCCGGGGGGAUGUCACCCACCAGGGGACACGGCAGAGGAGUUGCAAUUUGCUUUGCAAAAGCCCCCGGGGCGAGGAGCGGGCGGCCGUCCCUGCCCGGUGACUCAGAUCCUUCUUGGCCACGUGGGCAGCGCUCGGAGAGCCCCGACGCCGCUGCGCGGGGGCCCAAUUUUAGCCCUGGGACAGACAUUUUAGCCCUUGGGGACAGACAUAAUAACAGCGAGAGACGUGUGGCUCCGGCCAGGGGAGGGGGGGACCCGAAAUAUCCUCCUCCGUGCGGCGAUGGCACGGCCCCUGCCCGGCGCCCGCGUAAACCAGCCUUGGCCAGACCUGCUAUUCCAGUGGGUGGGGUUGGCUUUGUCCUGGCUUUAUUACAAGCUCCCUCUUGGCACCAGUGCCAGCUCCUGUGCUGGGACGCUGCUCUGGGACGUGGUGGGGCUCGGCUGGGUGUCCCCAGGGGGGCUCGGAGCUGAGGACGCUCCCUGGGGACGCAGCAAGGGGCUGGAGCACCCCCCCCCCAAGCCCCGCUCGGGCAUCUCCUUCAUCCCCCUCAUUUCUUAAACAGCAAUAAAACCAAAAGCAAUCCGAGA
This is a long non-coding RNA of Anas platyrhynchos (mallard), 4429 nucleotides long. RefSeq lists it as uncharacterized. The record is from RefSeq and is a predicted model, not a curated record. Lineage: Eukaryota; Metazoa; Chordata; Aves; Anseriformes; Anatidae.